Molecule: long non-coding RNA, 488 nt
Organism: Stegodyphus dumicola
Lineage: Eukaryota; Metazoa; Arthropoda; Arachnida; Araneae; Eresidae
Source: RefSeq, a predicted model, not a curated record
GCAAAUUAUUUUAUAACCACCAUAAAACCUAUUUCAAUGGUUAUUAUCGAUUUAAAUUUUUACACUUGGAACAGCUUUAGAGUUUAUUUUCGGUUUUAUUUAUAAUGCCCAUGAAGUAGUAGAGACAACAAAAAAACCGGGCGAGAGUCAAGUUACCGAGAAGUAGGAAUGAAGAUAUCAUUUUAGAUGAUCGUGCAUACGGCCUGAAUGCAGUUUGAAUUUUGAGAGAAUUCUGUAUAGAUGGAGACCACUGCUAUGAGUCUGAGACCACUGCUGAGCACUUUCGCCGCAUAAAUGUGCAAAAGAAACUACACAUGGUUUAAAAAUUAGAGCUCCAUAUUAUUCAUAGAAUGUUUAUAAAUGUCGAUGUGUUUUAUAAUAUCUAUCAUUAAAAAGCCCUGGAAUUUUACUUUAUUAGCCUGAAAAUUAUCGAGAAGUAUGCUGAUGUCUAUGCAAAAUUCAAAGAUGAGUACAAUAAUAAAAAUGCA